This 478-nucleotide ribosomal RNA is filed under the name uncultured bacterium. RNAcentral describes it as "partial 16S ribosomal RNA". It matches the Rfam family "Bacterial small subunit ribosomal RNA", at positions 28 to 507 of the family's 1533-position model. The record is from RNAcentral.
GAUGAACGCUGGCGGCGUGCUUAACACAUGCAAGUCGAACGGGAAACCUUUUAAUGAAGCUUCGGCAGAUUUCGCUGGUUUCUAGUGGCGGACGGGUGAGUAACGCGUGGGUAACCUGCCUUAUACAGGGGGAUAACAGUCAGAAAUGACUGCUAAUACCGCAUAAGCGCACAGGACCGCAUGGUCCGGUGUGAAAAACUCCGGUGGUAUAAGAUGGACCCGCGUUGGAUUAGCUUGUUGGGGGGGUAACGGCUCACCAAGGCGACGAUCCAUAGCCGGCCUGAGAGGGUGAGCGGCCACAUUGGGACUGAGACACGGCCCAGACUCCUACGGGAAGCAGCAGUGGGGAAUAUUGCACAAUGGGGGAAACCCUGAUGCAGCGACGCCGCGUGAAGGAAGAAGUAUCUCGGGAUGUAAACUUCUAUCAGCAGGGAAGAUAGUGACGGUACCUGACUAAGAAGCCCCGGCUAACUACGUG